CCUACGGGAGGCUGCAGUAGGGAAUCUUCCACAAUGGGCGAAAGCCUGAUGGAGCAACGCCGCGUGGGUGAAGAAGGUCUUCGGAUCGUAAAACCCUGUUGUUAGAGAAGAAAGUGCGUGAGAGUAACUGUUCACGUUUCGACGGUAUCUAACCAGAAAGCCACGGCUAACUACGUCCCAGCAGCCGCGGAAAUACGUAGGUGGCAAGCGUUAUCCGGAUUUAUUGGGCGUAAAGGGAACGAAGGCGGUCUUUUAAGUCUGAUGUGAAAGCCUUCGGCUUAACCGGAGUAGUGCAUUGGAAACUGGGAGACUUGAGUGCAGAAGAGGAGAGUGGAACUCCAUGUGUAGCGGUGAAAUGCGUAGAUAUAUGGAAGAACACCAGUGGCGAAAGCGGCUCUCUGGUCUGUAACUGACGCUGAGGUUCGAAAGCGUGGGUAGCAAACAGGAUUAGAUACCCCUGUAGUC
Molecule: ribosomal RNA, 465 nt
Filed under: uncultured bacterium
Lineage: Bacteria
Description: partial 16S ribosomal RNA
Rfam family: Bacterial small subunit ribosomal RNA
Source: RNAcentral